GGGGAUGUGGCUCAAGGGGUAGCGCGCUCGCCUAGCAUGCGUGCGGCCCGGGUUCGAUCCUCAGCAGCACCA
This is a non-coding RNA of Ictidomys tridecemlineatus (thirteen-lined ground squirrel), 72 nucleotides long. NCBI's taxonomy places the organism in Eukaryota, Metazoa, Chordata, Mammalia, Rodentia, Sciuridae. The record is from Rfam.